AUGUAGCGAGCUGAGUGGGGAGGAGAGAGGGACAGAGAGCCUGCUUGCUUUAAAGGAGCCAACCGGACAGGAGCUGCUUACACUCGUGUAAGCGGCUCCUCUCCUCUCCUCUCCCGCUUUGCUCCUUUAAAGCAAGCAGGCUCUCUGUCUCUCUCUCCUCCUCACUCAGCAGCUCUUCUC
Molecule: microRNA precursor, 180 nt
Filed under: Podarcis lilfordi (Lilford's wall lizard)
Lineage: Eukaryota; Metazoa; Chordata; Lepidosauria; Squamata; Lacertidae
Source: RNAcentral